GAGCAUAAAAAGCAUCAAGGCAGCUGGUGUGCUAAACAAACCUUUGGAGGUAAAUUAUCAGCAUGACUUAAUUUUAACCAUCGCUGUCAGUCACCUUCAAACAAGU
Molecule: small nucleolar RNA, 106 nt
Filed under: Castor canadensis (American beaver)
Lineage: Eukaryota; Metazoa; Chordata; Mammalia; Rodentia; Castoridae
Source: RNAcentral